RNAcentral lists this ribosomal RNA (626 nucleotides) under uncultured bacterium. RNAcentral's name for it is "bacterial SSU rRNA". It matches the Rfam family "Bacterial small subunit ribosomal RNA", at positions 249 to 885 of the family's 1533-position model. The record is from RNAcentral.
UUGGUGGGGUAAUGGCCUACCAAGGCGACGACGGGUAGCCGGCCUGAGAGGGCGACCGGCCACACUGGGACUGAGACACGGCCCAGACUCCUACGGGAGGCAGCAGUGGGGAAUAUUGCACAAUGGGCGGAAGCCUGAUGCAGCGACGCCGCGUGAGGGAUGACGGCCUUCGGGUUGUAAACCUCUUUCAGCAGGGACGAAGCGUAAGUGACGGUACCUGCAGAAGAAGCGCCGGCCAACUACGUGCCAGCAGCCGCGGUAAGACGUAGGGCGCGAGCGUUGUCCGGAUUUAUUGGGCGUAAAGAGCUCGUAGGCGGCUUGUCGCGUCGACUGUGAAAUCUCAGGGCUCAACUCUGACAUUGCAGUCGAUACGGGCAGGCUAGAGUUCGGUAGGGGAGACUGGAAUUCCUGGUGUAGCGGUGAAAUGCGCAGAUAUCAGGAGGAACACCGAUGGCGAAGGCAGGUCUCUGGGCCGAUACUGACGCUGAGGAGCGAAAGCGUGGGGAGCGAACAGGAUUAGAUACCCUGGUAGUCCACGCUGUAAACGUUGGGCGCUAGGUGUGGGGGGCCUCUCCGGUUUCCUGCGCCGCGGCUAACGCAUUAAGCGCCCCGCCUGGGGAGUACGG